This 253-nucleotide ribosomal RNA is filed under the name uncultured bacterium. Its description in RNAcentral is "partial 16S ribosomal RNA". It matches the Rfam family "Bacterial small subunit ribosomal RNA", at positions 524 to 776 of the family's 1533-position model. The record is from RNAcentral.
UACAGAGGGGGCAAGCGUUGUUCGGAAUUACUGGGCGUAAAGGGCGCGUAGGCGGCCUGCUAAGUCGAACGUGAAAUCCCCGAGCUCAACUCGGGAACUGCGUCCGAUACUGGCAGGCUUGAAUCCGGGAGAGGGAUGCGGAAUUCCAGGUGUAGCGGUGAAAUGCGUAGAUAUCUGGAGGAACACCCGUGGCGAAGGCGGCACUCUGGGACGGUACUGACGCUGAGACGCGAAAGCGUGGGGAGCGAACAGG